Molecule: non-coding RNA, 81 nt
Organism: Podarcis lilfordi (Lilford's wall lizard)
Lineage: Eukaryota; Metazoa; Chordata; Lepidosauria; Squamata; Lacertidae
Source: the annotation of a GenBank genome assembly
GGGUUCAUCAGCUCAGUUGGUAGAGCAUGAGACUCUUCAUCUCAGGGUUGUGGGUUCAAGACCACGUUGGGCAAAAGAUCA